GAGAGUGUUGUUGUGAGCUCGGUUGUGUCCUCAGUGACCCGUAGUAAAGCCCAGCAAAUCACAGCCCAGCUGCAGCCCUUCUUCACCAGCUACAGGAAGGCCUUGGAGGACUUCACCCGGCGUAACCAUGACAACGGCCCCGCGGUUGUGAAGGCAACCUGGGCUGUAUCCCACAGUUCAGGAGCUUCCUGGAGAAGGAGGACAACGCCCUGUCAGGUGACCAGGGGGCAGGGCUGCAGAGCAGCGUGAGGGCCCUGGAGGACUGGGGAUACAGCGUCCUCACCGGCCCCAUACACCUGGAGACAAAGGUUACACACCUACCUACCUCUAUUCACCUGCCCCAUACACCUGGAGACAAAGGUUACAUAUCUACCUACCUCUAUCAGGGUGUCCGCGCUAAAUUUAACAUUUAAGGCCUUAAAACGUCUUAAAUUCUUUACAAAUGUCAUAUGCUGGUCUUAAAUACUGUAACUCAAGGUCUUAAAUUUGUCGGGGCAGGACUAUUUUUUUAUUUA
Molecule: long non-coding RNA, 515 nt
Organism: Gadus macrocephalus (Pacific cod)
Lineage: Eukaryota; Metazoa; Chordata; Actinopteri; Gadiformes; Gadidae
Exons: 3
Source: RefSeq, a predicted model, not a curated record